UCGUAAUAUCAAAUAAAUGUGGUCAAUACAAUAGCCUUCCUCUCCAAAAGAAUACAACCGAUAAAAUAUUAUAAUAAUCCGAAUCACAAUAAAGAAGCAAUAUAUAUAUAUAUAGUACAGGCAUCAAAAAAACAGAGACACUGGGAAAAUGAAAUCUAAAGCAGAAAAUAAAUUAGAGCGAAUCCCAGGGCUAAGCCCCUAGCCAUGCUCUGCGGACACCACAUUUUCUCUGCUGAACUCUGCGUGACAAUUAAAAGUGUGUUAGAAAUAUUAUUAUAGGAAAAAAAAAUUGUAUAAAAUAUUUUUAGUAUUUUUAAUGGGGACAUACUGCGUCGGUGGCUGAUGGAACGGAGGCACCGCCUAGGCUUGGCGUGGGAGCUGCGGUGGGUGAUGCAGGAGGGGUUGUUAGAGAGGGAAGUGGCGACGGAGAGGCGGGCUUGGUUGGGGCUGGUGCUGGAGAUGAUGCUGGCGGGGGGACUGCGGGAGGAGGUGGAGUGGGGGAUGGAGGUGGUGGGGUGGUGGGAGCUGGUGGUGGAGUGGAGACUGGAGGAGGGGUUGCUGGUGGUGUGGAGACUGGUGGGGGAAUGUUGGCGGGAGGUGGCGUAGUGGAGGCCGGAGGAGCGGUGACGACUGGAGGUGGAGAGGUGGUGGGAGGUGAAGGGGUGGUGGUUGGUGGGGUUUGAGGGGUGGGGGGAGCUUGGGUGGUUGGUGGUGUUUGGGGUGUGGAUGGUGGUGAUUGCGGUGUGGGUGGUGCUUGGGUGGUUGGUGGUGAUUGAGGGGUGGGUGGUGCCUGGGUGGUCGGUGGUGCUUGGGUGGUUGGUGGUGCCUGUGUAAUAGGUGGUGCUUGGGUGGUUGGUGGUGCUUGUGUGGUGGGUGGGGUCUGCGUGCUUGGCGGGGCUUGGGUGGUGGGAGGAGAUUGAGCAGAGACAGCAACAAUGGCAAUGCAGAUGAAACCUAAGAAAAUGAUAGUGUUAUGACAAGUCAUGUCUGCCUUGAGCAUGAAGAGAGAACAAUAAGGUAAUGUAUGA
RNAcentral lists this long non-coding RNA (1028 nucleotides) under Daucus carota (carrot). Its description in RNAcentral is "long non-coding RNA (DCAR_LNC000332)". Lineage: Eukaryota; Viridiplantae; Streptophyta; Magnoliopsida; Apiales; Apiaceae. The record is from RNAcentral.